AAUCAUUUCCUUGAAGAAUUUAAUUCUUGAAGCAUGCAGGUGUUAGUGUUCCCAUGUUUCUGCUGCCCACGUCCUUCGAGAUGGAAGUGGUCGUGUGUUUGGAAGGAGCUGCCUGAGCAUCUUUGGCAAUCAGACCCUGCUGAGGUGAAUCUGCCGGCAGCGAUGACUCGAUAGAAAUGGAACUUUUCUCCCUAGUGAACUCUUCACUGCAAUGCUGCAUUCUCAAGUUCAGAUGCUGCCAACCUUGUUGAAUAAUUAAUUAUGAACAGUUCCUUGAUGUUGGCUUAAGCACUGUCUUUGAUUGAGAUGUCUUCAAAAUUGGCACAAUUCCCAGAGCAAUCUUCCAUGUCGCUGGUCUCUGAUCAGACAUCAGUAGUUUUCUUCUGUCUACUUUUGUUGAGAUAUAUACAAGGGAUAUAGUGGGGCGUCCAGCAGCAGGUGGUGAUGGUGAGUGAGGCUACUGAGCAGUGGAACUCAACCAGACAUUUUCUGGUAGUCAUGGUGUCUGUGUUGAGAAGAGACCUCGUGGAGAGGGGAAGAGACAAGCAUAAGAAUUCCUCAGCCAAAUGGGAAUUACUGGCUUAAUACCGUGUAAAUGCACUGUUUUCCUCAUGUAACCUUAAUUUCCCUUGAAAUGUGUUAAGACUUGAUGCCAGUCGAAUAAAGAAUCCCUGCUUCAUUAUAUUCAGGAAGUCCAUGUGCUUGAAACUCUUGUAUUAUUUCUGAGAACACAAAGGGAGACCUAUUGUAGCUAUGAUGAGGGAUGUCCAACCCCUACAAAGUAGAGA
Long non-coding RNA from Rhincodon typus (whale shark), 788 nucleotides. RefSeq lists it as uncharacterized. The record is from RefSeq and is a predicted model, not a curated record. NCBI's taxonomy places the organism in Eukaryota, Metazoa, Chordata, Chondrichthyes, Orectolobiformes, Rhincodontidae. The transcript is spliced from 3 exons.